UUAAGGUCUAACCUGCCCAAUGAUUAUUUAAAUGGCCGCAGUAUUUUGACUGUGCAAAGGUAGCAUAAUUAUUAGUUUCUUAAUUGGAAGCUUGUAUGAAAGGUUGGACGAGAUAACAACUGUCUUUAUUUAAUUAAUAUAGAAUUUAACUUUUAAGUUAAAAGGCUUAAAUUUAAUUAAAAGACGAGAAGACCCUAUAGAUCUUUAUUUUUGAAUUGAUUUAUUUAGUUAGGAUUAUUUAAAAAUUAAUUAAUUUAAAAAUUUUAUUGGGGUAAUAUGGAGAUUAAUUGAAUUCUUUAUUUUAAAAACAUUUAUUUAUGAAAAAUUGAUCCGGUUUUAUUGAUUAUAAGAUUAAGUUACCUUAGGGAUAACAGCGUAAUUUUUUUGGAGAGUUCUUAUCGAUAAAAAAGUUUGCGACCUCGAUGUUGGAUUAAAAAUUAUUUUGGGUGAAGAAGUUCAAAAAUUUAGUCUGUUCGACCA
This 480-nucleotide ribosomal RNA is filed under the name Pseudoxycheila bipustulata. RNAcentral's name for it is "16S ribosomal RNA". It matches the Rfam family "Bacterial large subunit ribosomal RNA", at positions 1845 to 2587 of the family's 2925-position model. The record is from RNAcentral. Lineage: Eukaryota; Metazoa; Arthropoda; Insecta; Coleoptera; Carabidae.